Molecule: small nuclear RNA, 107 nt
Organism: Nycticebus coucang (slow loris)
Lineage: Eukaryota; Metazoa; Chordata; Mammalia; Primates; Lorisidae
Source: RefSeq, a predicted model, not a curated record
GUGCUUGCUUCAGCAGCACAUGGGCUAAAAUUGGAAUGAUACAGAAAAGAUUAGGAUGGCCCCAUGUGCAAGUAUGACACAAAAUUUGUGAAGUGCAAUAAACAAAC